This is a long non-coding RNA of Arabidopsis thaliana (thale cress), 234 nucleotides long. RefSeq annotates it as other RNA. Lineage: Eukaryota; Viridiplantae; Streptophyta; Magnoliopsida; Brassicales; Brassicaceae. The transcript has a single exon. The record is from RefSeq.
AAAAACCAACGUCAGAUACAAAAAAAGGAACACACUUUGGCUUUGGAAAUCAAAGAUAAAAAACAUUCUUAAUUGAUAUCGGCAAACCACAGAUAAGAUCAUCUAAUGUAUCCAUUUUGUUGUGACUUUAACAUAAGACAACAAAAGGAUCCUGAUCUGAAUUCAUCUGAAUGUGACACCAAUCAAACCCAUCUGAAUUCUGAAAUUUUUUGGUGUUGUCAACGUCGUUUUUGC